CCCUUAGACGUUCUGGGCCGCACGCGCGCUACACUGACACAGGCAACGAGCUUUCCUUUACCGAAAGGUAUGGGUAAUCUUUUGAAACUGUGUCGUGCUGGGGAUAGAUCCUUGCAAUUUUUGAUCUUAAACGAGGAAUUCCUAGUAAGCGCGAGUCAUCAACUCGCGUUGAUUACGUCCCUGCCCUUUGUACACACCGCCCGUCGCUACUACCGAUUGAAUGGCUUAGUAAGGCCUCAGGAUCCGCGCUUAAUGUGUGGAGAAUUUGGACAAACUACGUCAUUUAGAGGAAGUAAAAGUCGUAACA
Molecule: ribosomal RNA, 307 nt
Filed under: uncultured eukaryote
Lineage: Eukaryota
Description: partial 18S ribosomal RNA
Rfam family: Eukaryotic small subunit ribosomal RNA
Source: RNAcentral